Molecule: ribosomal RNA, 700 nt
Filed under: uncultured Cyanobacterium sp.
Lineage: Bacteria; Bacillati; Cyanobacteriota; Cyanophyceae; Chroococcales; Geminocystaceae
Description: bacterial SSU rRNA
Rfam family: Bacterial small subunit ribosomal RNA
Source: RNAcentral
AGAGUUGUAUCCUGGCUCAGGAUGAACGCUGGCGGUAUGCCUAACACAUGCAAGUCGUACGAGAGUUUUUAACUCAAGUGGCGGACGGGUGAGUAACACGUGAGAAUUUGCCUUUAGGAGGGGGAUAACAGAGUGAAAACGCUGCUAAUACCCCAUAUGCUUUCGAGUGAAAUGGAUUUAUUCGCCUAAAGAGAAGCUCGCGGCUGAUUAGCUUGUUGGUAAGGUAAUGGCUUACCAAGGCGACGAUCAGUAUCUGGUUUGAGAGGACGAUCAGACACACUGGAACUGAGACACGGUCCAGACUCCUACGGGAGGCAGCAGUGGGGAAUUUUCCGCAAUGGGCGAAAGCCUGACGGAGCAAUACCGCGUGAGGGAUGACGGCCUAUGGGUUGUAAACCUCUUUUCUCAGGGAGGAAAUCAAUGACGUUACCUGAGGAAUAAGCAUCGGCUAACUCCGUGCCAGCAGCCGCGGUAAGACGGAGGAUGCAAGUGUUAUCCGGAAUCACUGGGCGUAAAGCGUCUGUAGGUGGCUUAACAAGUCAACUGUUAAAUCUUGAAGCUCAACUUCGAAAUCGCAGUCGAAACUGUUAGGCUAGAGUAUAGUAGGGGUAAAGGGAAUUUCCAGUGGAGCGGUGAAAUGCGUAGAGAUUGGAAAGAACACCGAUGGCGAAGGCACUUUACUGGGCUAUUACUGACACUC